CCUUGGAAAAUCUCAAAGGUGCAACCUGCCCUAUGGUAUAAGAUAAAUUUUGUAACCAAGAUUAUAACGAAUACUAAAUGGCCGCGGUAACUCUGACCGUGAUAAUGUAGCGAAAUCAAUCGUCAUUUAAUUGAUGACCAGUAUGAAUGGUUAAACGAAUUUUCCCCUGUCUCGGAAAUAGAUCUGUUAAAACUGUAAUAAUAGUGAAGAUACUAUUAAAAAACUGUAAGACGAAAAGACCCUAUAGAGCUUAACUAAAAUCUUCUUCGAUCUAAAAUUAUAACUUAUAAUUAAAUCUAAGAAGACUGUUAGUUUGGUUGGGGCGACCAUCUUCUAAUAAAAACGAAGAUAAACAAGGAUAUUAAAUAAAAUAAAUUUAAUUGUUUAACUCAUUUGUUUAACAAAUAUAAAAGUAGGUAUAAGUGACCCGUUGAUAUUAAAAAACAAAAUCAACGAUCAAUAAAUAAAAGCUACCUUAGGGAUAACAGCGUAAUCUUGUUUAAGAGUUCUUAUCGACAACAAGGUUUGCGACCUCGAUGUUGAU
This 544-nucleotide ribosomal RNA is filed under the name Aglauropsis aeora. RNAcentral describes it as "partial 16S ribosomal RNA". It matches the Rfam family "Bacterial large subunit ribosomal RNA", at positions 1834 to 2536 of the family's 2925-position model. Lineage: Eukaryota; Metazoa; Cnidaria; Hydrozoa; Limnomedusae; Olindiidae. The record is from RNAcentral.